GCUGGGAUUACAGGCAUGAGCCACUGUGCCCAGCCAUCCCAGCAUUUUAAGUUUGAUAUUUUGUACUCCAUGAGUCAAAGCUUGGGUGAGGAAUCACAAAAGGGCAUAACCAAUGGGAAGAUUUUGUGUCCAGAGAAGGCCUUGCAUAUCCGUUAUUUUAUAAACAGAGACAAUGAGGCCUGGGUAAGUUUAAUAAUCUGUCAAUGACAGAGCAGAAACCAGCAUCAUGAUGUGCUGAUGGCGAACAAUGAAUUUUGUCUUCCUAAACUACAAAGUCAAGCAAAAACCUCUUUUUAUUUUAUUUCAUUUGUUUCAAAUAGCUGUGAACAACCAUUCAUAACCCAGAAAGUCUAGAAAAGGUGUGAAAAAUAAUGAGUUUUUACUUAUAGGUAGAUGGACCUGUAGAGUUUGAAAGAGGUCAGGAGCAGGAGCCGCAUGGAGCAGGAGGUGGGUCAGGCAUUUGUCUACCUGCCUCUCCUGUGCCUGCCCUUGUGGAAGUCAGCGAGUCCCCCCUGGGGAAUCUGUCUUUGUUCUGGCACACCCCAUAAUAGGGAAGGAAAAUGCUCAAGAAUUCUUGGGUUUUUUUGUUUGUUUGUUUGUUUGUUUUUGGUAUAGUGGUUUGUUUUAUUAAAACAAAAUAAUGUGUUUCUUUAAGUGCUUGUUUCAGAGGUGAGCUUGGUACUUCACUUGCACCUGUGGCAUUUGAGGCACGGCUGAGUUAAUAUAUCCUUAUCAGCAGGCAGCACUGCCCUGGUAUGUUAUCAGAAAAGACAGCUAUUAGUGGUAACAUGCAGGAUCCAGCCAGGCACUUCCUCAACUGGCUGGGGAGAACUUCUGCAGCUCCGGUGAUAUCUCACUUCGUAUUUACAGUCCCCGGCCCUCCGUGGCUUGGGAGCACUCCAUUGCUGCCUAUCAGCCUGCCCAGCUGAGCAUCAGCAGCCUUGGGUUUGCUGAGAACUCAACUUUCUUUCCCUUUAUCUGUUUUCUUUAACUUUUUUUUUUUUUUUUUUCUAAAAGUCCAUUUUAUUGCAUCACCAGCCCAGCAGUGCAGGCAUUGCUUGAGGAAAGGUGCAGCAUGGAUUAGGCUGAUUUGCUCCCUGAGCUCUUGGGAGAGGAGGGCACAGCAGGAUCCUGCUCACUGGCUUUCAGCAGCAACUGACUUUUUGGCUUUAGAAUGUUAACAUUUGUGUGGUCUCCUCUCUGUCAAUGGACAGCAUACUUUUUGCCCUGUUCCUUGGUCUCUCAGUACACAAAAGGAGGUCUAGAAACUGGAUAAACUCUCAGUUGGAACUGUUUUUUAACUCUGCAAGAAAGCCACCAGGGCCUGUCCUGUCCUUCCAGCCUUCUGUCUUUACACCUCAGUCUGUACUAGUGAUUUUCAAACUGAGUGUUUGCCCAACCAGAGGUCUUAAAUCAAUUCAGUGUCAUAAACAUUUUGUUUUUUUCCUUAACGAAAUGGUGAACAGAAGAAAGACUGUCAGUAUAACAUACAUAGUCAAGAUUAACCAUUGUUUUGUUGGAAACUUAAUAAUUGCUAAGCUGGCCUCCAAUAACAACCAACCCCAAAUAAAUAAAUACAUACAUAAAUACUGCUCUGCAAAGGUAAUAUCAAGAUGACAGAGAAGAAAACGUCAGGAAAUGGUCUUCCUGCCUAACCAACUGCACUGGCAGAAUCUGCCUGAUGUGACUAUUUUGGAACUCUGGAGUCUAUUGAAGGUUUCUGGUUUCCAGCCCUUAUAUACAGGUGUCUAAACCCAUAUGUAAAUGUGGAUGUGGGUCAUAGUCAAAAUAAGUCUGAAAAACACUCAUCUACAGUAUCUUCUAUCCAUAGAUGUAGCUUGGCUCGGCAAAUUUCUAACACUCAGACAUUUAGAUAUCAUAAAGCCGGUCCUGCUCUCCCGGCCUUGACUUUGUACCUUAGUCUGGGAAUAGAUUCUGCCUCUGCCUGACGGGAAUGGAUGUGAAUGCAUGUUUACUUAUUUCUACUUGAAAAAGGACACAGAAGCAGCCUACUUCAGCUUCUUACUUUUGUUGCGCUGGGGCUCAACUGCUGGGAAGUGGACUAGCAACAUAAAAACCAAAGGCCCUUCUUUGCCGCUGUGUCUACGUAGAAUGGUUGGGAUUUGGUUUCCAGAGGCCCAAAGGACUAUCUCAUGAAAAGUGUUUCGAAUAUAUUUCUGCUUGAUGUGUUUAGCUUCCUGGGCCCACUGAGCCAUCAUGUUUUCUCAAUUUAAUCACUUGGUGGUCUCCAGGAUUCAGAGCGCACUUUUACAGCAGUCUCCCUAGUUUGACCAACCUCGUGAGAUUUCAGAAUACCAAGAGAGUGACAGGAGUAGGAUGGUACUCAAUAAGUGAAGCUCAGAAAUCUUUUGUGCCCUCAUAGUGAAAAUUCAGCCCUUUAGCUCCUGCUGCCCAGCGCGGUACCCCAGCUACAUCCCAGUUCUAGUCCCCAGUUCAUAGCAGCCCCACUCAGCAGCACCCCAGUCCUGUCCCACCCAAAUGGCUGCUAAGAGUCAGAAACAAACUGAACACUUGUUUUAGAAUUAUGCCUGUUUCUGCAACAAUGCUUUUUCUGUGGUUAUGUGGCAAGAUUGUUCAAUAGAAUUGUUUAUUUUUCUCUCUGACGAUUUUGUUCUUGCUUAGUUUGCAGAUAUAAAAAGAAGAGUGUUUUUGGCUAUUGAUGGUGUAAAAACCACGGGCCAUCUUUCAUUCCAUUUUUCUCUAGCCUCAUCUCUCCCUGCAGGGUUAAUCUUGGGCUCCCUGGCUCAUGAGUUUAUUGCUGUCUCUUACAAAAAUAAGUUCCACUUCUCCCUUAUAGGCUGGCACUGAAGUGCCAGGAAGGAGGCAGCCCUGGUGAUCUUAGCCAUGUGACACUUGGGUGGGGCCUUCAUCUGUCUCAUGUUUGCAAGGGUGGGAGAAUGGGCCCUGCUGCCACCUCAAGCUGCUCUCCUGCUGCAGUCUUUCUCCUGGCCUAGCAUUUUAUUUGAUAUGGUAUAUUCCAUUUGUAAGGCCUUAGGGCUCAGAGAGAAAGCUCCGUUCUUCAUCUUCUGAAAGCCCAAGAUAUAGCCUAUUCCCUUUCUUCUGAGCUUUGUCAUCUUGAAUCAGUGCCCAGGCCAGAAACAUGAGCAGCACGGCACCUAGCUUUAUUCGCUCACAGAGCUGUACCUUCUGUCCUAGCAGCAGUGGGACCUUGUCUCCCCCAACCAGGUGUUUGCCAUCAUUGAGACACCCUGCUUCUGCUGUCCCUAUGCCACAUCUCUUGUACAUUCCCUUGAGGCUGUUUGUAAAUUAAAGCUAGCACCUCUUAGUUCUGCCUUACUGCAGGAGGAGAGACACAGAUACUCCAUGACUCCUCCCCCAGAUGUUCAUCAUUUUCGUUUCCUAUGUCCGUAGCCCAGUUCCACUUUCUGUGGAAUUAUGUGAGUAAUUAUGUAGCCUCAUAAUUACAGCUACAGUGCAGAUUUCUUUGAAAAUAUUUGUAAGUCUCGAUAUCAAAAUGUAGUAUAUUUCAUGGUCUGUCACAGAUGACCACUGUUAGUGGUAAAUAUACUUGCAUAAUUAACAGGUUGACUCAAAGAAAGGCAGUCUCAUUUGGUUAGUGAGCACUUUGCACAGAAUACUGUGGUUGGAUACAAAAAGAGUAUGAAGGAUAGGAAUACGAAGGAUAGGAGUCUGUCUUCAGAGGCAGAUUGGUUGUGGGGGUCAAAGAGGAUUUUGAGGUUCUGAGCACGGGACUUGCUAAGAGUGAUAACGAUGAUACAGAAUAAUAACAGGAUAUAGUGAACCUCUGCAUGUGGCAGGCAUCAUCCUGAAUAACCUCUCCUAGUUCAUACAGCAACCUUAAGCAGUGGAUAUAUUAAAAUACCUGUUUGACAAGUAGGGAAACGAGACUUUGUGAGUAAUUUGGUCAAGGCCACACAGCUGAUAAGUGAUAGAGUUGGGAUGUGAAGCUGGGUCGUUUCGGCUCCGGGCACCUAAUACUUCAUCAGUAUUCUGAGGUGUCUGCUUUUUUUUUUUU
Long non-coding RNA from Sapajus apella (tufted capuchin), 4018 nucleotides. RefSeq lists it as uncharacterized. Lineage: Eukaryota; Metazoa; Chordata; Mammalia; Primates; Cebidae. The transcript is spliced from 2 exons. The record is from RefSeq and is a predicted model, not a curated record.